This is a long non-coding RNA of Notolabrus celidotus (New Zealand spotty), 5382 nucleotides long. RefSeq lists it as uncharacterized. The transcript has 10 exons. NCBI's taxonomy places the organism in Eukaryota, Metazoa, Chordata, Actinopteri, Labriformes, Labridae. The record is from RefSeq and is a predicted model, not a curated record.
UGCCUUUGUGGCGUAGGGGUGUAGAGGAAGGACUGGCAGCCAAAAGGUUGAUGAUUCGAUCCUUAUCGGUGCUUUAGGGAAUUUUAAAGUUCAAAGAGCCAAAGAACAAGGAGACAUGCACCCACAUCUGAAGUCCACAUGUGUGUCUUUGUGGUGCAGGAGUGUAGAGGACGUACUGGCAGCCGAGAGGUUGAAGGUUCGAACCCCGUCUCAGGUUUAGUGAAUUUUGAAGAGUGUUUUUAAGAAAUAGGAGAAGUGAAAAGCAUUUGGAAACCUGCAUGUUGUGUUUCUCUGUGGUGCAGGGGUGUAGAGGAUGUACUGGCAGUCUAGAGGUUGCAGGUUUGAUCCUUAUCAGUGACUCAGUGAGUAUUAAAGUCAAAGACACUCUUAAUUGGAUAAUUGAUGUUUUUUUGAGGUGUGGUUGUGAAGUCAGAAUCCUCAGAAUAUUCUUUUAAUGCUUUUCUAAGUAUUUCUAAACAGACAUGUAAUUCACUGCAUUGGCCACAUGGGAGCGCCACACACUCAGGACGUGACGUUCAGGUGACGUUCAGGUGCUUGGGACGUGUUCAGGUGACGUGCCUCACAGUAGCUUCCGGUUCCGGUUCCUCCACGCUGCUGCUGCUGACUGACUGACGCACGGACACGCUUCCUCCGGACCACAACGGGAGUCUGCAGAACGACGAACAGACGGAGAAAACACACAGAAGAAGGAGAACAUGCUGGAAACUAAAGACCCGGACCCGGAGCGUGCAAGGGGGACACGAGACGAAGCUGCAGACCUGAAGAACAGCUGAUGGGAGGAGCACGUGUCUGUGAUGAAGUGGCUUCCUGGUGGCAAAAUAAAGUGCUGCAACUACCAGGAGAGUGUCCACCUGAACUAAAACUAAACUGAGCUUUAAAGGGACAUUUCACUGAGGGGGACCGGCUGACCCGAGGUGCUCGGUGACCCGGAGGUUGGGGUGUCCAGAAAGGGCGGCGGCCUCAGGGCCUCUUGGCUGGGCUCUUCUUUCCCUCUUCUCCUCCUCCUCCUUCCCUCUGCUCCGUGAGCAUUACGUCUCAGGACGGGAGACACGGGCGUCACAUUGAAAUCAUUUGGCCAUGCAGCAGCUGCAGCAGAGGUUCAAGAAGGCUGUGGGUCUUGAUUCCACCAUGGACGAACAACAGAGGAGACUCAGGCUGAAGGAGUUGCUGACGGGAGGACCGGGUGUGUUGAAUGAAGGACUGAACGUAGGUAGAAAGAAGAAGAGUUUCCAUGGUGACAAAGGACAAGCAAAGUGGAGAGGAAAAUGGCCGACACCUCACGUGACUGCAACCUUCCAAUCCCAACAUUGUUCCUUUAAACAUGACUCAAGACAAUAAACAUUCAAUGUGACAAUGAUGACUCAUGGUUUCCUUAGUCAGGAAAUAAGACCAUAUUUGGUGAAUCUGUGAAUAACUUCCUUACCAACACAUGUCUCCAUGUUUGUAGUUCUCUUUAAGGUCCAGAGACAACAUGCAGGAUUGAGGAGGUUUUGGAAACCUGCACAGAGGUCUGUCUCUGUGGCGCAGGAGCAAAACACCGGACUUGAUGUCUGGAGGUCAUGGGUUCGAUCCUCUGUUGGUCCAAAUCAUUCCUCCUGUUCAGUCCUUGUUGAAGAGUUUUUAGAAGUUGUCAUCUAAAGGAGAAAUAGAAAUGUUAAACACACAUCGUCUACAGGUGUGUCUCUGUGGCGCAGUGGAUUAGAGGACACAGUUGAAGUCUGGAGGUCGUGGGUUCGAUCCUCUGAUGGUCCAAAUCUUCCCCCUGUUCAGUCCUUGUUGAAGAGUUUUUAAAGGCCAGUGUGUAAGGGGGAAAUAGAAAUGUUAAAGAAGCAUCAUGUAUUGGUGUGUCUCUGUGGCGCAGUGGAUAGAGGACAGAGUCAGAGUCUGGAGGUUGAGGGUUCGGUCCUCAUUGAGGGGCUCACUUAGUUUUGAGGAGUGUUUUCAGAAAAUAGAGCCUUAAAGCAUUUGGAAGCAUGUAUGCUGUGUGUCUUUGUGGUGUAGUGGUGUAGAGGAUGGACUUGCAGUUCAGAGGUUGAAGGUUCGAUCCUUAUUUCAGGCUUGUGACUUUUAAAGUCAGAGAGCAGCAGAAUGAAGAUAGAUCCACCCAGAGCUGAGCUCUGCACGUGUGCCUUUGUGGCGUAGGGGUGUAGAGGAAGGACUGGCAGCCGAAAGGUUGAUGGUUCGAUCCUUAUCGGUGCUUCAGUGAAUUUUAAAGUUCAAAGAGCCAAAGAACAAGGAGACAUGCACCCACAUCUGAAGUCCACAUGUGUGUCUUUGUGGCGCAGGAGUGUAGAGGACGUACUGGCAGCCGAGAGGUUGAAGGUUCGAACCCCGUCUCAGGUUUAGUGAAUUUUGAAGAGUGUUUUUAAGAAAUAGGAGAAGUGAAAAGCAUUUGGAAACCUGCAUGUUGUGUUUCUCUGUGGUGCAGGGGUGUAGAGGAUGUACUGGCAGUCUAGAGGUUGCAGGUUUGAUCCUUAUCAGUGACUCAGUGAGUAUUAAAGUCAAAGACACUCUUAAUUGGAUAAUUGAUGUUUUUUUGAGGUGUGGUUGUGAAGUCAGAAUCCUCAGAAUAUUCUUUUAAUGCUUUUCUAAGUAUUUCUAAACAGACAUGUAAUUCACUGCAUUGGCCACAUGGGAGCGCCACACACUCAGGACGUGACGUUCAGGUGACGUUCAGGUGCUUGGGACGUGUUCAGGUGACGUGCCUCACAGUAGCUUCCGGUUCCGGUUCCUCCACGCUGCUGCUGACUGACUGACGCACGGACACGCUUCCUCCGGACCACAACGGGAGUCUGCAGAACGACGAACAAACGGAGAAAACACACAGAAGAAGGAGAACAUGCUGGAAACUAAAGACCCGGACCCGGAGCGUGCAAGGGGGACACGAGACGAAGCUGCAGACCUGAAGAACAGCUGAUGGGAGGAGCACGUGUCUGUGAUGAAGUGGCUUCCUGGUGGCAAAAUAAAGUGCUGCAACUACCAGGAGAGUGUCCACCUGAACUAAAACUAAACUGAGGUGAGUUUAAAGUUUUCAAGUCUAAUUACUCUGUUCAUACAGCUGCUGUAAUGUUGUUGUUGUUGCUGACAGCUCACCACUAGAGGGCGCUGUUUCCCCUCAAAGUCAUUGGAUGAAUGUAUGUGUUGUUGAUUCAGCUCCUGUAAUUCAACCUGUGUGUUUUAAUUGUUUCACCAUUCGCUUUAAAGGGACAUUUCACUGAGGGGGACCGGCUGACCCGAGGUGCUCUAUGACCCGGAGGUUGGGGUGUCCAGAAAGGGCGGCGGCCUCGGGGCCUCUUGGCUGGGCUCUUCUUUCCCUCUUCUCCUCCUCCUUCCCUGUGCUCCGUGAGCAUUACGUCUCAGGACGGGAGACACGGGCGUCACAUUGAAAUCAUUUGCAGCUGCAGCAGAGGUUCAAGAAGGCUGUGGGUCUUGAUUCCACCAUGGAUGAACAACAGAGGAGACUCAGGCUGAAGGAGUUGCUGACGGGAGGACCGGUUCUCUUUAAGGUCCAGAGACAACAUGCAGGAGUGAGGAGGUUUUGGAAACCUGCAUGGCAGUCUGUCUCUGUGGCGCAGGAGCAAAAGACCCGACUCGAAGUCUGGAGGUUGUGUGUUCGAACCCCUGAUGGUCCAAAUCAUUCCUCCUGUUCAGUGCUUGUUGAAGAGUUUUUAUAAGUUGUCAUCUAAAGGAGAAAUAGAAAUGUUAAACACACAUAAUCUACAGGUGUGUCCCUGUGGCGCAGUGGAUUAGAGGACACAGUUGAAGUCUGGAGGUCGUGGGUUCGAUCCUCUGAUGGUCCAAAUCUUCCCCCUGUUCAGUCCUUGUUGAAGAGUUUUUAAAGGCCAGUGUGUGAAGGGGAAGUAGAAAUGUUAAGGAAGCAUCAUGUAUUGGUGUGUCUCUGUGGCGCAGUGGAUAGAGGACAGAGUCAGAGUCUGGAGGUUGAGGGUUUGGUCCUCAUUGGGGGGGUUACUUAGUUUUGAGGAGUGUUUUCCAAAAAGAGAACCUUAAAGCAUUUGGAAACAUGUAUGCUGUGUGUCUUUGUGGUGUAGUGGUGUAGAGGAUGGACUUGCAGUUCAGAGGUUGAAGGUUCGAUCCUUAUUUCGGUCUUGUGACUUUUAAAGUCAGAGAGCAGCAGAAUGAAGAUAGAUCCACCCAGAGCUGAGCUCUGCACGUGUGCCUUUGUGGCGUAGGGGUGUAGAGGAAGGACUGGCAGCCAAAAGGUUGAUGGUUCGAUCCUUAUCGGUGCUUUAGGGAAUUUUAAAGUUCAAAGAGCCAAAGAACAAGGAGACAUGCGCCCACAUCUGAAGUCCACAUGUGUGUCUUUGUGGCGUAGGGGUUUAGAGGACAGACUGGCAGUCUAGAGGUUGCAGGUUUGAUCCUUAUCAGUGACUCAGUGAGUAUUAAAGUCAAAGACACUCUUAAUUGGAUAAUUGAUGUUUUUUUGAGGUGUGGUUGUGAAGUCAGAAUCCUCAGAAUAUUCUUUUAAUGCUUUUCUAAGUAUUUCUAAACAGACAUGUAAUUCACUGCAUUGGCCACAUGGGAGCGCCACACACUCAGGACGUGACGUUCAGGUGACGUUCAGGUGCUUGGGACGUGUUCAGGUGACGUGCCUCACAGUAGCUUCCGGUUCCGGUUCCUCCACGCUGCUGCUGCUGACUGACUGACGCACGGACACGCUUCCUCCGGACCACAAAGGGACUCUGCAGAACGACGAACAGACGGAGAAAACACACAGAAGAAGGAGAACAUGCUGGAAACUAAAGACCCGGACCCGGAGCGUGUAAGGGGGACACGAGACGAAGCUGCAGACCUGAAGAACAGCUGAUGGGAGGAGCACGUGUCUGUGAUGAAGUGGCUUCCUGGUGGCAAAAUAAAGUGCUGCAACUACCAGGAGAGUGUCCACCUGAACUAAAACUAAACUGAGCUUUAAAGGGACAUUUCACUGAGGGGGACCGGCUGACCCGAGGUGCUCGGUGACCCGGAGGUUGGGGUGUCCAGAAAGGGCGGCGGCCUCGGGGCCUCUUGGCUGGGCUCUUCUUUCCCUCUUCUCCUCCUCCUUCCCUCUGCUCCGUGAGCAUUAUGUCUCAGGACGGGAGACACGGGCGUCACAUUGAAAUCAUUUGCAGCUGCAGCAGAGGUUCAAGAAGGCUGUGGGUCUUGAUUCCACCAUGGAGGAACCGGGAGGACCGGGUGUGUUGAAUGAAGGACUGAACGUAGGUAGAAAGAAGAAGAGUUUCCAUGGUGACAAAGGACAAGCAAAGUGGAGAGGAAAAUGGACGACACCUCACGUGACUGCAACCUUCCAAUCCCAACAUUGUUCCUUUAAACAUGACUCAAGACAAUAAACAUUCAAUGUGACAA